This 735-nucleotide ribosomal RNA is filed under the name uncultured bacterium. RNAcentral describes it as "bacterial SSU rRNA". It matches the Rfam family "Bacterial small subunit ribosomal RNA", at positions 59 to 797 of the family's 1533-position model. The record is from RNAcentral.
CAGUCGAGGGGUAUAGUAGCAAUACUAGAGACCGGCGCACGGGUGCGUAACGCGUAUGCAAUCUACCUUAUACAGAGGGAUAGCCCAGAGAAAUUUGGAUUAAUACCUCAUAGUGUUAUUGAAUGGCAUCAUUUAAUAACUAAAGUUCCAACGGUAUAAGAUGAGCAUGCGUCCUAUUAGCUAGAUGGUAAGGUAACGGCUUACCAUGGCUACGAUAGGUAGGGGUCCUGAGAGGGAGAUCCCCCACACUGGUACUGAGACACGGACCAGACUCCUACGGGAGGCAGCAGUGAGGAAUAUUGGACAAUGGGCGCAAGCCUGAUCCAGCCAUGCCGCGUGCAGGAAGAAGCAUCUAUGGUGUGUAAACUGCUUUUGUACGGGAAGAAACACUCCUACGUGUAGGAGCUUGACGGUACCGUAAGAAUAAGGAUCGGCUAACUCCGUGCCAGCAGCCGCGGUAAUACGGAGGAUCCAAGCGUUAUCCGGAAUCAUUGGGUUUAAAGGGUCCGUAGGCGGUUUAAUAAGUCAGUGGUGAAAUCUGGUCGCUCAACGAUCAAACGGCCAUUGAUACUGUUAGACUUGAAUUACUAGGAAGUAACUAGAAUAUGUAGUGUAGCGGUGAAAUGCUUAGAUAUUACAUGGAAUACCAAUUGCGAAGGCAGGUUACUACUAGUGGAUUGACGCUGAUGGACGAAAGCGUGGGGAGCGAACAGGAUUAGAUACCCUGGUAGUCCA